AAUUAUAUUUGGCGACAGCCGAAGACAGCAGGGGCAAUAGCUUAAUCAUCCUGCCUAGGUUGAUGCGAAUUACAGAUCAAACAUAAGGUCUGUCUCAAGAUUAACUAACUAUAGUAAAAAUCUACCGCGAUACAUCAACCUAAUGCCGUGCAAAUUGUAGCAAGGCUUUUUUUAUUGUCUG
Cyanobacterium aponinum PCC 10605 is the source of this 181-nucleotide regulatory RNA element. It matches the Rfam family "Ribosomal protein L10 leader". From Rfam's summary of the family: This family is a putative r-protein leader autoregulatory structure found in B. subtilis and other low-GC Gram-positive bacteria. It is located in the 5' untranslated regions of mRNAs encoding ribosomal proteins L10 and L12 (rplJ-rplL). The record is from Rfam. Lineage: Bacteria; Bacillati; Cyanobacteriota; Cyanophyceae; Chroococcales; Geminocystaceae.